AUAUAAAUAAGCUAAUCAAGCUUUUAGGUUCAUACCCUAAAUAUAUUAAUUCAACUUUUUUUUCUAUA
This 68-nucleotide transfer RNA is filed under the name Andrena hunanensis. RNAcentral's name for it is "tRNA-Met". The record is from RNAcentral. Lineage: Eukaryota; Metazoa; Arthropoda; Insecta; Hymenoptera; Andrenidae.